RNAcentral lists this long non-coding RNA (349 nucleotides) under Ictidomys tridecemlineatus (thirteen-lined ground squirrel). RNAcentral's name for it is "lncRNA (ENSSTOG00000033398.1)". Lineage: Eukaryota; Metazoa; Chordata; Mammalia; Rodentia; Sciuridae. The record is from RNAcentral.
UGUUUACGGAACUGAAAACGGACCACACCAAGAGUGUUGCCAGGGAGACGCGGGCGUCGGGGGAGGAGGAAGGGGAGGGCCGCAGGAAGGAGGAGCCAGGAACUCUCGGAACCGGACCUCCCAGUGCUGGUGCUCCACGAGCGGGGUGUGCGCACUCGCCCAUUUGAGUAACGCCCCUUCCUCCUGCGCGCGAGUGCCUGCUAAAAACACAUCCCACAGAAGUGACGUUAACAGCAUCUCCAGGAAGGCUGCAGUGACGCUUCUCCAGCUGAUGAAACAGGGGGUUGUCCCCACCUUGUGCCUGUUGCAGGGGGUCUCCAAACCAGACCAGUGAGCAGCCCCAGGUGUG